This 404-nucleotide ribosomal RNA is filed under the name uncultured Pseudomonas sp. Its description in RNAcentral is "bacterial SSU rRNA". It matches the Rfam family "Bacterial small subunit ribosomal RNA", at positions 979 to 1382 of the family's 1533-position model. Lineage: Bacteria; Pseudomonadati; Pseudomonadota; Gammaproteobacteria; Pseudomonadales; Pseudomonadaceae. The record is from RNAcentral.
CCUUGACAUGCAGAGAACUUUCCAGAGAUGGAUUGGUGCCUUCGGGAACUCUGACACAGGUGCUGCAUGGCUAUCGUCAGCUCGUGUCGUGAGAUGUUGGGUUAAGUCCCGUAACGAGCGCAACCCUUGUCCUUAGUUACCAGCACGUUAUGGUGGGCACUCUAAGGAGACUGCCGGUGACAAACCGGAGGAAGGUGGGGAUGACGUCAAGUCAUCAUGGCCCUUACGGCCUGGGCUACACACGUGCUACAAUGGUCGGUACAAAGGGUUGCCAAGCCGCGAGGUGGAGCUAAUCCCAUAAAACCGAUCGUAGUCCGGAUCGCAGUCUGCAACUCGACUGCGUGAAGUCGGAAUCGCUAGUAAUCGUGAAUCAGAAUGUCACGGUGAAUACGUUCCCGGGCCUU